Chiloscyllium plagiosum (whitespotted bambooshark) is the source of this 1226-nucleotide long non-coding RNA. RefSeq lists it as uncharacterized. The record is from RefSeq and is a predicted model, not a curated record. Lineage: Eukaryota; Metazoa; Chordata; Chondrichthyes; Orectolobiformes; Hemiscylliidae.
UCAACAGAGAAGGCAAUUCAGCAUGAGGAAAAAGAAGAGGUCAGCUCUGCCCUCUUCCCUUCCUGGCAACUUCUAAUUGAAUGCUGAGCAAUCUCUUGGGAGGAUGUUUCAAGAUGGGCUGUGAUGGAGCAAGUUGAAUCAAGAUACUACCAGCUACAAAAAACAGCUCUACAGCCAACUUUGCAACAGUUUGGAUGUCAAUUUGCUCGAGCCACAGCAGAAGCUUAACUGAUCGCUGAACGAAUAAAGAGAAAUAAACAAUGAAUUAUGGUAAUUCUGAAAACCCGGAGUGGAUCUCGACAGCCAGCGGACUGGAAGACCGGGAGCAGAGCGGAACAACCGGCAGACUGUAAAUCUGGAGCGGGACGUGACAGCCGGCACACUGACUCAUAAACCAGAGGUGAUCUAUUAUCUGUGAAGAACUAAAGUCAACUUUUACAUGAGAUAUGUGGAAAAUUUCAGGUUAUUUGGCCAAAAAUAGGGGUCUGCAUUUACAUGAGAUUGACUAUGACUCGAGUAUAUACUGUAAUAAGUGGAUUUAUUUAUUGUUAGUCAGUUCAUGAAUAUCACUGUAAUAAUAGUGUUUAAUACAUGGCAUUUCUGCUGCUAUAUAAAGCACUGUGACCCAUUCCGAUCUUCUUCUACUAAGGACAGCACGGAGUCUCAUCAACCCAAAUGCCAUGCAAUUACCAUCAGCUUUCUUAAAAAAUCUAAACAUGUCAAUACUUACUGGUCACUGUAGAUGAAUAAUAAAAUCAUUCUCUUCUAUUGGCCUCAAUGCUAGGUGAAAACUAUUAUGAAUAUGAUAAAAGUUGGACCAUUGAUUUUCAAUAUUAACUAUUGAUAAGAUUUUAAUAUCUUGAACUAUCAUGGACAGAAGUGGUUUCAAAAAUGAGAAAACUCUGGUGUAAAACUGUCCGUAGUUAACACAGGCUGAGGCAAGCUUCAUGAAACCAUGAAUUCAUAAUCACAGAAUCGUUCUGGUGUAGAAACAGACCACCCAGCCCAUCGUGCCUGCUCUUCAAAGGGGAAUCAUUAUUUAGCACCAAUCUCCUGCUUUGUCAUCAUACCUUGCAAACCAUUUCUAUCCAAAUAAUCAUCCAACGCCCUCUUGAAUGUCUCAAUUGAACCGACCUCCACCACACUUACAGGUUUUGCAUUCCAUACCCUAACUACUCGCUGUGUGAAAAAGCUUUGCUCCUUUUGCACAUCACUAUAAAUCUAUG